This is a long non-coding RNA of Melospiza melodia melodia, 1992 nucleotides long. RefSeq lists it as uncharacterized. The record is from RefSeq and is a predicted model, not a curated record. The transcript is spliced from 2 exons. Lineage: Eukaryota; Metazoa; Chordata; Aves; Passeriformes; Passerellidae.
CCUCCAACAGCUCCUGCUGCAGAGAUCCCAUUAACCUCUGUACUGCCAGUCCAGAUUGCCCAAAUCAACUCCUUUAGCUUUGGCCUGGCUGGAAUUUGGAAGGAAAAAGGGUCAUCAGUAACUGGAAGAGUGAGGCAGCAGCAGAGGAAGCAGAAGGACUGCAGGGAAAGGGAUGAGCUCACUUUCAACCAGAGAAUAUGUUCAGAAAGGCAAGAGUUUGACAAAUGAAGAUUUAAAUCCCUGAAAAAACAAGGAAAAAGAGCACAUCAAUGGAUCCACGUGCUGGAUAUGAUAACAGUUGGUCUGUCUUUGGAUGGCAGAGGAAGAUAAGACACAUGAGAGUGCUCUAAUUAUGAGACAAAAAUAGCAAGGCCUCUGAACCCCUUUAAUGUUCUUUAAUUUUCUGGUGAUUUCAUCAACUGAAUUUGGUCAAGCUGAUCACAUUAUUCAGUUGUUACUCAUAGCCAGGAAAUGACACAGGCUGCACACAAGCUGGGCUGCAGAGAGGGGAAAAAAAAUAAAUAAAAUAAAAUCAAUGCUCUUGGAUGCUGCACUAAUGGAUGUGGGCUCAGAAACCUGAGCUGCUGGAGCAAGAGCACAGACUGGAUGUGAAACAAAGACCUGGAACACAGAGAUGCAAACCCAAGGAAUUAUUAAAACAGGUUCCUGCACCCAAGAUAGUUCCCACUCUAGCAAAUUCAGCAUCCUAAAAGGAAAUUUGAGUAAGAAAAACAACAGACAAUGCCACAAGAACAAUUCCUACCCAAAACAAAAUCAAUGUGCUCAGCAGCACCUGGAAAAAGAGAACUGGAAGUUUCCUGCUUUUUGAACCUCAAGAAUAUUUCUCCAGCAUCAAUUAAAGGAAAAAAAGUUUCAAAGUGGGCAUCUUCAUUGUCAUCCUCCUAAAGAGCAAUUUUUAAAACCAAUUUAAUUUCAAUGAAGGGUCUGACAAAGAUUCAUCUCAUUCUACUCCAGAUCAAAAUUAAGAACAACAAAGCCAGGACAAAGGAUUUCAAUUUGUUCUUCCAAUUAGAGAACCAUCCCCAAAGGCCAAAACCAUUUCCUACCUUUGUGAUUUCCUUGAAAAAGGCCUCAAACCUCCACUUGUACAAGAAGAAGGAGCAAACAAAUGUCUGAUGUUACAGAGGGAAUAUUUCAACAACACUCACUUCUCACCCAGGCACCAAAUGGAUUUUUAACCAUCUGGGAUUUCCAGUCCAGUCACUACUGGGUGAAACAGUUCAGAGAAUGUGCCUGGGAAAUCCCUCAAAUCCCACUCACCACUGAGCUGAGGUGCUCAAACUCCUGUUCCAGCAGAAAGGAGGACCAUCCAUCCUCCAGGACCUCGAACAUGGGCCGGUAGAAGAAGGGAUACAUGAGGGUGACUGAAUCCAGUGUGGAAAGUGCCUGUGGGGACAAGAGAAAUCAUGGAAUCACAGGUGGGGGUGGAAGGAACCUUAAAGCUCAUCCCAUUCCACCCCUGCCAUGGGUAGGGACACCUUUCACUACCCCAGGCUGCUCCAAACCCCAUCCAGCCUGGCUUUGAAAACUUCCAGGGAUGGACAGUCCAAAACCUCUGGGAAACACCCCACAACCCCCCAGUAUGUGAAAUAUUCCAGAUUCUUCUUUGCCUUUCAAAACAUGAAAACCUAACUGGAAAAAAUAAAGCUCUUAAGGCUGAGGUGAGCUCAAGACCUGCAGGUUUUCUGGGUGAUGGUAGCUGCUCACCUCAAUGGAGCUGGCAAUGUUCAGACACUCCUCCAUCCCUGGGAUGUCCAGCUGGAUAAUCCUCAGGUCUUUGCAUUUUAUCACAAUGGUGCCCAAGGAGCCCACGAACCUACAGCAAGACAGGAAAAAAGACUCCCAUAAAAAACAGGAUCCUCUAAGGCAGGAGAGGUGGCACAGCUAUUCCCACGAGGCAAACCUCCAUGAGGGGCAAUUUGUCUGCAGGGGAACCUUUCAGGAAAAUAAAGGAACAAACACAACUUGUUA